RNAcentral lists this transfer RNA (81 nucleotides) under Sulfurimonas denitrificans DSM 1251. It matches the Rfam family "tRNA". Rfam says of the family: Transfer RNA (tRNA) molecules are approximately 80 nucleotides in length. Their secondary structure includes four short double-helical elements and three loops (D, anti-codon, and T loops). Lineage: Bacteria; Pseudomonadati; Campylobacterota; Epsilonproteobacteria; Campylobacterales; Sulfurimonadaceae. The record is from Rfam by way of RNAcentral.
GCCAGUGUGGUGAAAUGGUAGACACGCCUGAUUCAAAAUCAGGUAUAGAAAUAUGUGGCGGUUCGAGUCCGCCCACUGGUA